This 437-nucleotide ribosomal RNA is filed under the name uncultured bacterium. RNAcentral's name for it is "partial 16S ribosomal RNA". It matches the Rfam family "Bacterial small subunit ribosomal RNA", at positions 28 to 507 of the family's 1533-position model. The record is from RNAcentral.
GAUGAACGCUGGCUGCAUGCUUAACACAUGCAAGUCGGACGGGAACGGCUGUGUCCCGUGGUUCACCGGUGAGCAACGCGCAAACAGGUGACUAAGGGGUGGCCACAAUGCCUGGGAACGGUGGCUAACACCUCGUAGGCCGAGGUGCAAACGGAGGAAUGCGCCCGAGGAGGGGCUAGGGGCGGUAUAGAUAGCUGCGGAGGUAAUAGCUUACCAAGGCGAUGAGCAGUAGCUGGUCCUAGAGGAUGAUCAGACACACUGGCACUGGGGGACAGGCCGGAGUCCUGCGGGGGGCAGCAGGGGGGAAAUUUCCGCAAUGCGCGGUAGCCUGAAGGAGCAAUGCCGCGUGGAGGUAGAAGGGCCUCGAGUCGUGAACUUCUUUUGUCGGGGGAGAAACAAUGACGGUAUCUGAGGAAUAAGCAUCGGCUAACUCUGUG